Molecule: ribosomal RNA, 303 nt
Filed under: uncultured bacterium
Lineage: Bacteria
Description: partial 16S ribosomal RNA
Rfam family: Bacterial small subunit ribosomal RNA
Source: RNAcentral
AGCAGCCGCCACGGUAAAACGUAGGUGGCAAGCGUUGUCCGGAAUUAUUGGGCGUAAAGGGCUCGCAGGCGGUUUCUUAAGUCUGAUGUGAAAGCCCCCGGCUCAACCGGGGAGGGUCAUUGGAAACUGGGAAACUUGAGUGCAGAAGAGGAGAGUGGAAUUCCACGUGUAGCGGUGAAAUGCGUAGAGAUGUGGAGGAACACCAGUGGCGAAGGCGACUCUCUGGUCUGUAACUGACGCUGAGGAGCGAAAGCGUGGGGAGCGAACAGGAUUAGAUACCCGCGUAGUCCCUGUCUCUUAUAC